Molecule: long non-coding RNA, 481 nt
Filed under: Cyclopterus lumpus (lumpfish)
Lineage: Eukaryota; Metazoa; Chordata; Actinopteri; Perciformes; Cyclopteridae
Description: lncRNA (ENSCLMG00005001629.1)
Source: RNAcentral
CUUACCCGGGAGAGGAAGAGGAACGACCUCUAUUGAAUCAGCCCCAGAGCGCUCCCAUCCUGGGCCGGACCCACAGGAUCUCUUUGUGCCAGAAAUUGGCUAGUUUUUGCCUCCUUUAUUAUUUCCUGCCACCUGUCUCUCUGUGUCUUGUUUCAGCUGUGAGGUCAGCAACAAACCCUUCGCUCAUUAUCUUGCCCGUCAGACUUGCGCAUAUGCUCACGAAAGCCGGCAAUAAUCCACAUUCAGUCCCCUGUCCUUCUUUUCUAAAUCUUGCCUCACACACUCACACACAUGCUGUCACCUCUCCGUCACCCGGGAGGACCCCUUAUAUAAAGCGCUGUCUCCCCUCUAGUUGUUACUGCCUUUGUUUCCAUCAUCAGUCAAACAUCCGUCUCUUGUGCUGCAGUGUCGCCAUGUCUGACUUUGAAGAUCGUGGAGGCCAUCAAGAGGGUAAGGACAUUCACUCCUUCAUUAAAUAAAC